This 465-nucleotide ribosomal RNA is filed under the name uncultured bacterium. RNAcentral's name for it is "bacterial SSU rRNA". It matches the Rfam family "Bacterial small subunit ribosomal RNA", at positions 28 to 486 of the family's 1533-position model. The record is from RNAcentral.
GAUGAACGCUAGCGGCAGGCCUAACACAUGCAAGUCGAGGGGUAGGGUUAGCUUGCUAACUUGAGACCGGCGCACGGGUGCGUAACGCGUAUGCAAUCUACCUUGUACAGAGGGAUAGCCCAGAGAAAUUUGGAUUAAUACCUCAUAGUAUCUUUACCUGGCAUCGGGUAAUUAUUAAAGUUCCAACGGUACAAGAUGAGCAUGCGUCCCAUUAGUUAGUUGGUAAGGUAACGGCUUACCAAGACAAUGAUGGGUAGGGGUCCUGAGAGGGAGAUCCCCCACACUGGUACUGAGACACGGACCAGACUCCUACGGGAGGGCAGCAGUGAGGAAUAAUUGGUCAAUGGACGCAAGUCUGAACCAGCCAUGCCGCGUGCAGGAAGACGGUCCUAUGGAUUGUAAACUAGCUUUUAUUACAGGAAGAAACAAACUCUACGUGUAGAGUCUUUGACGGUACUGUAGGAA